Molecule: long non-coding RNA, 1239 nt
Filed under: Mytilus galloprovincialis (Mediterranean mussel)
Lineage: Eukaryota; Metazoa; Mollusca; Bivalvia; Mytilida; Mytilidae
Source: RNAcentral
UUUUUUUCAACUGGAACAAAAGUCAAUCUUAAUUCUUAAUUUUACAAAAUAUUUAAUCAAUAGAUUGACGAAUGACAGAUAAAACAUGGGGGUAAAACUGGUUUUGCUGGUGGUUGCAGUUGGGGACUAAAUAGCUUAUUCUAGGUUUGGGUAGAAAAUAAUAAAUUAGAACAGGUUACCCUUGCACAUAUAAUAUACAAUGUAUAAAAUGAUAAAUCAGGAAUGUGUCCAUGGGCCCCCGCUUGCAUAUGAUGUAUAAAGGUUCAGGACUAAGAACAGUAAGGCCAAAUAAAAAUAUAUGUGUGGUUCCAGUUACAUACUUUUAAAAAAUAGGGUCGGUAAGUCGGCAAACUUUUUUUUUUUUUUUUUAUUUUUUUGAAUGUCAAAAUCCGGAAAAAAAUCGUGUGUUUACCGAAAUUGUUUCCGGUAUUAUACACGCCCCAACCGGAAGUCCACCAUUUUUACAUGUGUUUGGUUGUAAAACCACAGUCAUGAUACGUUUUUAGUUAAUUUUGUUGCAUUCUGUUAUGAAUUGUUGCAUUUUAGCCAUAACAGAUACUUGUGAUGGAAAUUCAGAUGACAGAAAUCUAUGAAUUAAUUAUUUUAAUUCACAAUCCUCAAAAUUUGAUGUUUGAAAAUUUAUUUUUCAGAAAUGAAAAAAAAAGUUCUAGGGUCGGGGGGUUUAACUAGGGUCAGUCGGGUUACUGGAACCACACGUAUAUUUUUAUUUGGCCUAAGAGUGACUACCCAAAUUUGAUCUGAGUUUUGUGUUAAUAAGCAUUGUGUAUAAGAUUCAUAACAUUUGGUUGAGGCAAACUAAAGAAACAGAAUUGAAACAAAAAUUCAGUGAUUUUUACAUCUGUAAAGGGGCAUAACUAUACAAUGGUGAAAUUGAGGAAUAUUCCAACUUAAUCUUUAUUUGUGGUAAUAGGCAUUUUGUACAAGUUUCAUUACAUUUGGUUGAGGCAAGCUUCAGUUUGAGAACAGAAAUCAAUUGUUGACUGUACGCGAGUACGGACGGACAGAUGGACAUGGGUAAAACUUAAUGGCCCCUACUAAAAAGAGGGGGCAUAAAUAUGUGCAUCCCUCUUUUAAAAUAAUCAUAAAAAAUAUUUACUUGAUUUUAAACAACCACCAAUCACUCUAUCCAUGCAAAUCAAUCAUUUCAUGUAAGAGAAUGGAAUAAAAAUUUUAUUCAAAUAAGAACAGCCUAUUUGUUCCUCUUGAAUUAGUUUUACA